UGGGGAAUAUUGCACAAUGGGCGCAAGCCUGAUGCAGCCAUGCCGCGUGUAUGAAGAAGGCCUUCGGGUUGUAAAGUACUUUCAGCGGGGAGGAAGGUGUUGAGGUUAAUAACCUCAGCAAUUGACGUUACCCGCAGAAGAAGCACCGGCUAACUCCGUGCCAGCAGCCGCGGUAAUACGGAGGGUGCAAGCGUUAAUCGGAAUUACUGGGCGUAAAGCGCACGCAGGCGGUCUGUCAAGUCGGAUGUGAAAUCCCCGGGCUCAACCUGGGAACUGCAUUCGAAACUGGCAGGCUAGAGUCUUGUAGAGGGGGGUAGAAUUCCAGGUGUAGCGGUGAAAUGCGUAGAGAUCUGGAGGAAUACCGGUGGCGAAGGCGACCACCUGGACUAAUACUGACACUGAGGUGCGAAAGCGUGGGGAGCAAACA
Molecule: ribosomal RNA, 427 nt
Filed under: uncultured bacterium
Lineage: Bacteria
Description: partial 16S ribosomal RNA
Rfam family: Bacterial small subunit ribosomal RNA
Source: RNAcentral